This 94-nucleotide transfer RNA is filed under the name Candidatus Mailhella merdavium. RNAcentral's name for it is "tRNA-Sec". It matches the Rfam family "Selenocysteine transfer RNA". The record is from RNAcentral. Lineage: Bacteria; Pseudomonadati; Thermodesulfobacteriota; Desulfovibrionia; Desulfovibrionales; Desulfovibrionaceae.
GGAGGCGUAUCGUUACCGGUGUGGCGCCUGGUCUUCAAAACCAGUGGACGGCUGUGAGGUCGUCGGUAGGUUCGACUCCUAUACGCCUCCGCCA